GACGAACGCUGGCGGCGUGCUUAACACAUGCAAGUCGAGCGGUAAGGCCCUUUCGGGGGUACACGAGCGGCGAACGGGUUGAGUAACACGUGGGUGACCUGCCCUCAGCUCUGGGAUAAGCCUGGGAAACCGGGUCUAAUACUGGAUAUGACUCCAUGACGCAUGUUGUGGGGUGGAAAGCCUUGUGCGGCUGAGGAUGGGCCCGCGGCCUAUCAGCUUGUUGGUGGGGUGANGGCCUACCAAGGCGACGACGGGUAGCCGGCCUGAGAGGGCGACCGGCCACACUGGGACUGAGACACGGCCCAGACUCCUACGGGAGGCAGCAGUGGGGAAUCUUGCGCAAUGGGCGAAAGCCUGACGCAGCGACGCCGCGUGAGGGAUGAC
This 384-nucleotide ribosomal RNA is filed under the name uncultured bacterium. RNAcentral describes it as "bacterial SSU rRNA". It matches the Rfam family "Bacterial small subunit ribosomal RNA", at positions 28 to 412 of the family's 1533-position model. The record is from RNAcentral.